RNAcentral lists this long non-coding RNA (924 nucleotides) under Felis catus (domestic cat). Its description in RNAcentral is "lncRNA (ENSFCAG00000050421.1)". Lineage: Eukaryota; Metazoa; Chordata; Mammalia; Carnivora; Felidae. The record is from RNAcentral.
CGCAAGAAUUCCACAGAAUGACACUUGAGACGCAGACUGGGUUGUAACUUAGCUUUCCUUUAUUGCAAAACAAUAAGGAAAAGACACACAUCUAGAUUAGCUCUAAGAUGUGGGAAGUCCCUAAAGUUCCUAAUGUUGAGAGACGAGGGGUAAUGGAGACUACAGAGCAGCAGGCUCUUCCAAGCUGAGGUGGCAGCUUUUGCAAAUCCCUGAACGAAGAGAAAGCUUGGUCAGAUUAGGCAAUGAUUAACACCACAAAGGUACAACAAAAUGGAGCUGCCAAGGUUGACAAGACAGAAGGCCGAAGAAGUCAGCAGAAGCGGCAUCUUAAGACAAUCAUUGUCGCAGUAAUUUAGCGUGCACCUGCAUCACCUGGAGGGCUUCUUGAAACCCAGAGCCCUGGGGCCAACCCCCAGGGUUUCUGAUUUAAUGCAUCUGGGGUGGGGCAUGAGCAUUAGGCUACAAGGUUCCAGGAGAUGCUGAUGCUGUUGGUUCCCCGGACUUUGAAAAUCACUGUUUUCAGAUCUUCGUCGUCCUCAAUGCCUUGGAUAAUGGAAAGAAAUGGAAGGCUUCUGGAGGUACAUUCCUCCAGGAAAGGAUCCUGAGAUGUGUUUCUAAAGGCCCCGGCUGCCACCAGGAUGCUUAACCGACUGAGCCACCCAGGCGCCCCCAGUAAGUCUAAUUUUUUACUAAGAGGACGUAUGUUUUGCAGAUUUUAACAUGUUCGUAUCUAUCCUUGCCUUUGUCCUUUUUAUGACAACCCUCAACUGUGCCCAUCAUCCCACGUCUGUCUCCCCCAAGCAAAUCGGAGUGCCAGAGUUAUAAGACCAUUCUUAUAUAGUCUUCUUAUAUUCCGGGGUAUGCUGGUUGUAUUCAUUAUUUAAGGAAUUCGUUACCAAAUGUCAGUGCUUUAUUGCAAACAUA